RNAcentral lists this ribosomal RNA (251 nucleotides) under uncultured Eubacteriales bacterium. RNAcentral's name for it is "uncultured Clostridiales bacterium partial 16S ribosomal RNA". It matches the Rfam family "Bacterial small subunit ribosomal RNA", at positions 83 to 334 of the family's 1533-position model. The record is from RNAcentral. Lineage: Bacteria; Bacillati; Bacillota; Clostridia; Eubacteriales.
UAAAGUGGAUUAGCGGCGGACGGGUGAGUAACACGUGAGUAACCUGCCUUAGACAUUGGGAUAGCCUCGGGAAACCGGGAUUAAUACCAAAUAAAAUCAUAAUGACACAUGUCAUAACGAUCAAAACUCCGGUGGUCUAAGAUGGACUCGCGUCCCAUUAGCUAGUUGGUAGAGUAAAAGCCUACCAAGGCGACGACGGGUAGCCGGCCUGAGAGGGUGAACGGCCACAUUGGAACUGAGAAACGGUCCAA